UGGAUCCAGACUUUGAUCAUGGCUCAGGACGAACGCUGGCGGCGCGCCUAACACAUGCAAGUCGAACGAGAGAGAGGGAGCUUGCUUCCUCGAUCGAGUGGCGAACGGGUGAGUAACGCGUGAGGAACCUGCCUCAAAGAGGGGGACAACAGUUGGAAACGACUGCUAAUACCGCAUAAGCCCACGGCUCGGCAUCGAGCAGAGGGAAAAGGAGCAAUCCGCUUUGAGAUGGCCUCGCGUCCGAUUAGCUAGUUGGUGAGGUAAUGGCCCACCAAGGCGAUGAUCGGUAGCCGGACUGAGAGGUUGAACGGCCACACUGGGACUGAGACACGGCCCAGACUCCUACGGGAGGCAGCAGUGGGGAAUAUUGCACAAUGGGGGAAACCCUGAUGCAGCGACGCCGCGUGGAGGAAGAAGGUCUUCGGAUUGUAAACUCCUGUUGUUGAGGAAGAUAAUGACGGUACUCAACAAGGAAGUGACGGCUAACUACGUGCUAGCAGCCGCGGUAAAACGUAGGUCACAAGCGUUGUCCGGAAUUACUGGGUGUAAAGGGAGCGCAGGCGGGCGAUCAAGUUGGAAGUGAAAUCCAUGGCUCAACCCAUGAACUGCUUUCAAAACUGAUUGUCUUGAGUAGUGCAGAGGUAGGCGGAAUUCCCGGUGUAGCGGUGGAAUGCGUAGAUAUCGGGAGGAACACCAGUGGCGAAGGCGGCCUACUGGGCACCAACUGACGCUGAGGCUCGAAAGUGUGGGUAGCAAACAGGAUUAGAUACCCUGGUAGUCCACACCGUAAACGAUGAUUACUAGGUGUUGGAGGAUUGACCCCUUCAGUGCCGCAGUUAACACAAUAAGUAAUCCACCUGGGGAGUACGACCGCAAGGUUGCAACUCAAAGGAAUUGACGGA
RNAcentral lists this ribosomal RNA (902 nucleotides) under uncultured organism. RNAcentral's name for it is "bacterial SSU rRNA". It matches the Rfam family "Bacterial small subunit ribosomal RNA", at positions 1 to 917 of the family's 1533-position model. The record is from RNAcentral.